UUCCAAAAACAAAAAAACUGAUGAAAGUGGUAUUCCCCGAAACCGGCAGAACGCGGUGAAAAGAAUUUUGAGUGGGGUCAUCAUCAGGCUGCUACUGGAGUUGGUGUAGGAAGAAGCAGGAAUAGAUGAGGGCAUGUUUUACCUAUGACGCAGGGUCUUAGUGUGCAGUUACAAAGUGCUAAAUUGACUGGAAUAAAGAAAUGCGUAGAAUAUAAGGACGAAAUUAACUAAAUAUGAAGAAAGUGACAGCGAAAUAAGUGAGAGCUUUUUAUGUGAAUGUAUUUUGACAGGAAUUUCAGUUUGUGAACUUCUCCAGAAAGAAAGAGACAACCGGGGGAUACUCAAAAGCUUUCAGCUUCUCUUUAUCCCGCUAGCGCAGAGCUAAUUAAUGGUUCUGAUGGGCGUGCACGAAAGUAUCGAGAAAUGAUGAUAAGUUGUUGGUUGUGAUCUUCUGAGCUGGAGAGUUGAGAAGAAGAUGAGCAGGUGAAGAACACAGGACGAGGCAAACCAGAUCCGGAGAGAGAGAAAGAAA
Limulus polyphemus (Atlantic horseshoe crab) is the source of this 532-nucleotide long non-coding RNA. RefSeq lists it as uncharacterized. The transcript has 3 exons. The record is from RefSeq and is a predicted model, not a curated record. NCBI's taxonomy places the organism in Eukaryota, Metazoa, Arthropoda, Merostomata, Xiphosura, Limulidae.